Molecule: long non-coding RNA, 1417 nt
Organism: Dermacentor andersoni
Lineage: Eukaryota; Metazoa; Arthropoda; Arachnida; Ixodida; Ixodidae
Source: RefSeq, a predicted model, not a curated record
UGUCGCUGCAACACCACGCUAAACUGCUAUCAUUCGCGCUCAUCAAUGAGUCCCGAGUAUGCGUGUAAACUGGUUGUUUGCUCCUAAUGCUCAAUUUGUUAAACAACGCUUCAUAACGGGCAGUGUAAUGCCAGAAACUUGCUAGUUCACAACUACGCACGCCAUCCAUGCUGAUUUAUUUGAACAGGCACAUGAUUGAUCUAGCUACCAGCUGCGGUAAUUUAUAUUUCACUCAUAGUUGUAAAGGUAAUUGUGGAGAGCGUUGAUCAUGGCAGUUGCGAAAAAAAAAAAAAAUCGGUGCAAUCGCGCGCGUCGCUAUUAUAUUUUUUAGACGGAAUCGUCGGGGGUAAUCGCAUGGCCUUCUUUGGCCUCGCGUGACCAUGGCCUAGCCUGCAGUGAACGAGCCUAGCUUGAUCGAUAUCGUGGGGCUACCGUUUCAUACGUACACGUGCUCUUGUCGGAUCAGAUUAAAUGAGUAAGCGUAAUAUAUUGUUUAUUUUCCCCCCUUAAUUUACUUGAUAGGUUAUCAGGCGGCGAUGCGAGAACCAGCGCGCUGGCAUGGACUACGUGAAAAACUUGUCGGCGUGGUUUUCCCCACUGAAUCGAAUCGCAUAGAGACAAAUUGCUUCCGAAUCGAGGAUGCUUUACCUCACUGGAACACUCGAGGCCGCACUUCAUUUCCGAGACGGAAAAGCGAACUCCUCAACGAAAGGCGGUUGGCCACCUUGUGCUAGUUGAAGAAGCGAGAUGGGGGUGGAUACCUCUUGCCAUCCGCUUGCAAAAAUCGGUGCAGUGAGUGCGAGAAGGCGCCUGAGAAAAAGUAACAUAUUAUGCCAAGAAAAAUGCGAAGCCGGUUCCUUGACCUGGUCACUGUGGGUGAUCUCUGCCAGAGCACUUUGGACAGCAUUGCUCAGAGUGUCUACACCAGGAAGGCUCUGAAGAAUGGACAUGAUGAAGGCUGGGUCCUGGAAUAUGUCGUCGUAUUCAUCAUCACCAACUGCAUCCUGCACAGCAGUCAUUGAGGAUUCACAUGUUGAAUGACACAGCUUGAGGCAGGGUAGGCUAGUGACCUUAGUCUUGACUCAACCUGGCUCACCUGUUCUGGAACCUGCUUGGCCUCGUCUGUAUCCAUGGCAUCUUCAUCAACUUCAGCAAGCAGUAUGUCUGGCAGAAUUGGCGGGACAAGCUGAGGCACUAAAGGAAUGUGAAACCAAUCAUGGUACCUCCUCUGUAGGGGAGAAGCAUGUAAGCAUGCAGAAGACUGCACAAAAUGUGGAAACCAACACACAUUGUUAUUGUGAUGGGCAAGCCAUUCUUGAACAUUUUGUGGUGUCAGAAGCUGCCAGAGUAGCAUCCCUUGGUGAAUUGGCCAUCUCCUGCCUGACUUCGUAAUCCUGCCAUUGACGUUGCUCCUCCA